RNAcentral lists this ribosomal RNA (1406 nucleotides) under uncultured eukaryote. Its description in RNAcentral is "SSU rRNA". It matches the Rfam family "Eukaryotic small subunit ribosomal RNA", at positions 1 to 1428 of the family's 1831-position model. The record is from RNAcentral.
GCUUAACCUGGUUGAUCCUGCCAGUAGUCAUAUGCUUGUCUCAAAGAUUAAGCCAUGCAUGUCUAAGCACAAGCCGAUUAAUGGUGAAGCCGCGAAUGGCGCAUUACAACAGCCAUAGUUCCCUAGAUCUUACUUUUCUACUUGGAUAACUGUGGUAAUUCUAGAGCUAAUACACGCAAACAAGCUCAGACCUUACGGAAUGAGCGCAUUUAUUAGAACAAAAACCAAUCGGAUCUCGGUCCGUCAUUUGGUGAAUCUGAAUAACUUUGCUGAUCGCACGGUCAUCGUACCGGCGACAUAUCUUUCAAAUGUCUGCCUUAUCAACUUUCGAUGGUAGUUUAUGCGCCUACCGUGGUUGUAACGGGUAACGGAGAAUAAGGGUUCGACUCCGGAGAGGGAGCCUGAGAAACGGCUACCACAUCCAAGGAAGGCAGCAGGCACGCAAAUUACCCACUCCCAGCACGGGGAGGUAGUGACGAAAAAUAACGAGACGGCUCGCUAUGCGGUCCGUCAUCGGAAUGGGUACAAUUUAAAUCCUUUAACGAGGAUCUAUUGGAGGGCAAGUCUGGUGCCAGCAGCCGCGGUAAUUCCAGCUCCAAUAGCAUAUAUUAAAGCUGUUGCGGUUAAAACGCCCGUAGUUGGAUCAGCGGACGUGGACGAACGGUCUCCCGAUGGGCUGUACUGUUCUCCUGUCCUAAUCAAUGUCUAGUUCGCUCUAGGUGCCCUUCACUGAGUGUCUAGAGUGGCUGGAACUUUUACUUUGAAAAAAUUAGAGUGCUCAAAGCAGGCGUCUCAGCCUGAAUAGUGGUGCAUGGAAUAAUGGAAUAGGACCUCAGUUCUAUUUUGUUGGUUUUCGGAGCAUGAGGUAAUGAUUAAGAGGGACAGACGGGGGCAUUCGUAUUGCGACGUUAGAGGUGAAAUUCUUGGAUCGUCGCAAGACGAACUACUGCGAAAGCAUUUGCCAAGAAUGUUUUCAUUAAUCAAGGACGAUAGUUAGAGGUUCGAAGGCGAUCAGAUACCGCCCUAGUUCUAACCGUAAACGAUGUCAACCAGCGAUCCGCAGGGGUUAUUCAUGACUCUGCGGGCAGCUUCCGGGAAACCAAAGUUUUUGGAUUCCGGGGGGAGUAUGGUUGCAAAGCUGAAACUUAAAGGAAUUGACGGAAGGGCACCACCAGGAGUGGAGCCUGCGGCUUAAUUUGACUCAACGCGGGGAAACUCACCCGGCCCGGACACCGUAAGGAUUGACAGAUUGAGAGCUCUUUCUUGAUUCGGUGGGUGGUGGUGCAUGGCCGUUCUUAGUUGGUGGAGCGAUUUGUCUGGUUAAUUCCGAUAACGAACGAGACUCUAGCCUACUAAAUAGAAGGCAAAUCAUUCGUUUGCUGUACUUCUUAGAGGGACUAGGGGCG